UCUUUUAGAGCUUGCCACGAGCCAAUCGUGGUCAUAAUCAAAAGGUUAAAAGAGAGAGAGAGAGAGUUUGAACAGUUAAGUAUAAUGAUUAUAAGUUUUAGAAAAAAAUAUAUGAACACCUCCUCAACUUUAGCCCAAUUUUACUUAUACCCUCUAUAUUUUAAAUAGUAUCAAACUAACACUCUUGGUCAUCGAUAUGUUUCAAUAUGGUCCAGCUAUUGACUUACCAACAAAAGAUAUUAGCUUUUUCUCUCAAUGGAUAGAAAUGCCCCUCGCUCAUAUGGGAGGGUUCACCAAUGAAGAAGAGGUAG
This 311-nucleotide long non-coding RNA is filed under the name Elaeis guineensis (African oil palm). RNAcentral's name for it is "long non-coding RNA (EGUI_LNC027817)". Lineage: Eukaryota; Viridiplantae; Streptophyta; Magnoliopsida; Arecales; Arecaceae. The record is from RNAcentral.